RNAcentral lists this ribosomal RNA (512 nucleotides) under uncultured bacterium. Its description in RNAcentral is "bacterial SSU rRNA". It matches the Rfam family "Bacterial small subunit ribosomal RNA", at positions 8 to 518 of the family's 1533-position model. The record is from RNAcentral.
AGGGUUCGAUUCUGGCUCAGGAUGAACGCUGGCGGCGUGCUAACACAUGCAAGUCGAACGGAGCUUAAGGAGGCGGAGUUUUCGGAACGAAGCGCCAUAAGCUUAGUGGCGGACGGGUGAGUAACGCGUGGGCAACCUGCCGUAUGCAGGGGGACAACAGCCGGAAACGGCUGCUAAUACCGCAUAAGCGCAAGAGGGCGCAUGUCUUUUUGCGGAAAGCUAAGGCGGCAUACGAUGGGCCCGCGUUGGAUUAGGUAGUUGGCGGGGCAACGGCCCACCAAGCCCGCGAUCCAUAGCCGGCCUGAGAGGGCGACCGGCCACAUUGGGACUGAGACACGGCCCAGACUCCUACGGGAGGCAGCAGUGGGGGAUAUUGCACAAUGGGGGAAACCCUGAUGCAGCGAACCGCCGCGUGAGUGAAGAAGUAUUUCGGUAUGUAAAGCUCUAUCAGCAGGGAAGAUAAUGACGGUACCUGACUAAGAAGCACCGGCUAAAUACGUGCCAGCCGCUGC